This 421-nucleotide ribosomal RNA is filed under the name uncultured bacterium. RNAcentral describes it as "partial 16S ribosomal RNA". It matches the Rfam family "Bacterial small subunit ribosomal RNA", at positions 363 to 776 of the family's 1533-position model. The record is from RNAcentral.
AUUGGACAAUGGGCGAAAGCCUGAUCCAGCCAUGCCGCGUGUGUGAAUAAGGUCUUCGGAUUGUAAAGCACUUUAAGUUGGGAGGAAGGGCAUUAACCUAAUACGUUAGUGUUUUGACGUUACCGACCGAAUAAGCACCGCCUAACUCGGUGCUCGAAGCCGCGGUAAGACGAAGGGUCCAAGCGUUAAUCGGAAUUACUGGGCGUAAAGCGCGCGUAGGUGGUUCGUUAAGUUGGAUGUGCAAGCCCCGGGCUCAACCUGGGAACUGCAUCCAAAGCUUGCGAGCUAGAGUACGGUAGAGGGUGGUGGAAUUUCCUGUGUAGCGGUGAAAUGCGUAGAUAUAGGAAGGAACACCAGUGGCGAAGGCGACCACCUGGACUGAUACUGACACUGAGGUGCGAAAGCGUGGGGAGCAAACAGG